UCGAUCCAAAGUUAUUGUUAUCAUUGUGCAGAGAUAAUCGGGGAUGCCACCCUCGUGAAUAUAUGCAAAAAAGGGAGUGGGACCAAACAGCGCAUGCUCGAGUUACUAUAGGAGGGGUUACGAGCCAUCCGGGGAAAUUGAUUGAUCCUUUCAUUCUGCUUCGAGUCGUCCUAUAAGCACGUUCUCGUGAGCUCUUGAAGAUGGACGGCCAGGAGUAAUAUAAAAGCGCCUCUCCAGUCGCGAUAAUGGAAACCAUCUGUAGCAUUUUAAGCAACACACUCUCGCAUAUAGUUUUUCAUGCGCUGUUACCACACACUUUGUGAGAAGUCAAUAUUCCUUAUAUACCCGUCAAGAAGAGUGGACCGCAUAAUUCAAGAAACCAUUAAAGAGGAAUAUCAAUGUCCACCACGAGCAGUUAUUCUUGGCAAUUUGCUACGGCAGCGACAGAGCUUCGAUGUUUCGAAAGUCGGAGUAGAAAGGAUGACUGAUCCGGCAACUGUCCAAAUCAAUCAUUUUACGACUUUACAGAGAGCAACCGAUCGCCAUUUCGAAAUUUAAGUCUAUCGGAAAAUAUAUUAAAAAUAUUUGUUGCUUCGUAGGCGUCCCGUGGGGCGUUUAACGGAAUGUUACUAAAACAGUGGUUUAUUUAACUUCUCGUAAAUCUAUUUCCUUCACAUGGAUUUAAAAUUACCGAAAGUAUUAAGUUGGAAGUUUUCACUUGUGGGAAGUGAAGACAACCUUCUAAUUCAUUCAAAGGACUGGCUGUAUAAAAGCAAUAAUGAUCCCGCCGAAUAAUAAAUUGAGAUAAUGAUAAAUGAAGAAAAGAAGCAUUAAAAUAGGCUUUAUCUUAUCGAGAGUGUUGUUUAAAAUGAUUCAGACGAUAUAGUCCAUUAUCGUGCCUGGGGGGGUGCUUAUAUAUCGUUCCAUCUUCUGGAGUUCCUAGAACCUGCAUGGAUGACUACGACAGUCAGAAUCAACAGCUUGUAUUACUCUUUAAAGAACACAAUAAAUUCAAUGAUCAAAUUAAAUUUUUUUAUCAUUUAUUUCGGCCAGCACUAUUUUGCAGAUAUUAACGAGAUGUUAUGUCAUCCGCGGUAAUCUCAUCACAAUGUUACC
Molecule: long non-coding RNA, 1116 nt
Organism: Vespula pensylvanica (western yellowjacket)
Lineage: Eukaryota; Metazoa; Arthropoda; Insecta; Hymenoptera; Vespidae
Exons: 4
Source: RefSeq, a predicted model, not a curated record